RNAcentral lists this transfer RNA (74 nucleotides) under Chrysochromulina ericina virus CeV-01B. RNAcentral's name for it is "tRNA-Lys". It matches the Rfam family "tRNA". Rfam says of the family: Transfer RNA (tRNA) molecules are approximately 80 nucleotides in length. The record is from RNAcentral. Lineage: Varidnaviria; Bamfordvirae; Nucleocytoviricota; Megaviricetes; Imitervirales; Mesomimiviridae.
UUCUCGGAUAACUCAGUUGGUAGAGUGGGCGUCUUUUUGGGGUCUAGUCCCUAGUUCGAGUCCAGGUUCGAGAA